CGCCCGUGCCCUGGGAGC
This 18-nucleotide microRNA is filed under the name Gallus gallus (chicken). Its description in RNAcentral is "microRNA Ros-gga". The record is from RNAcentral. Lineage: Eukaryota; Metazoa; Chordata; Aves; Galliformes; Phasianidae.